Molecule: unclassified non-coding RNA, 391 nt
Filed under: soil metagenome
Description: partial contains 5.8S ribosomal RNA, internal transcribed spacer 2, and large subunit ribosomal RNA
Rfam family: 5.8S ribosomal RNA (bases 1-122)
Source: RNAcentral
GAUGAAGAACGUAGCGAAAUGCGAUACUUGGUGUGAAUUGCAGAAUCCCGUGAACCAUCGAGUCUUUGAACGCAAGUUGCGCCCGAAGCCAUUAGGCCGAGGGCACGCCUGCCUGGGCGUCACACGUCGUUGCCCCCCCAUCUACUCCUUCGGGAUUGCGGGGGGCGGAUGAUGGCCUCCCGUGCGCCUCGCCGCGCGGUUGGCAUAAAUGCCAAGUCCUCGGCGACGCACGCCACGACAAUCGGUGGUUGCGAAACCUCGGUUGCCCGUCGUGUGCGGUCGUCGCGCAUCGAGGGCUCGAAAAAAUUGCCGGGUUCCGGCUCGGCUUUCAACGCGACCCCAGGUCAGGCGGGGUUACCCGCUGAAUUUAAGCAUAUCAAUAAACGGAGGA